This 2043-nucleotide ribosomal RNA is filed under the name Staphylococcus aureus subsp. aureus CIGC93. RNAcentral's name for it is "bacterial LSU rRNA". It matches the Rfam family "Bacterial large subunit ribosomal RNA", at positions 878 to 2925 of the family's 2925-position model. The record is from RNAcentral. Lineage: Bacteria; Bacillati; Bacillota; Bacilli; Caryophanales; Staphylococcaceae.
AGCCUCAAGUGAUGAUUAUUGGAGGUAGAGCACUGUUUGGACGAGGGGCCCCUCUCGGGUUACCGAAUUCAGACAAACUCCGAAUGCCAAUUAAUUUAGCUUGGGAGUCAGAACAUGGGUGAUAAGGUCCGUGUUCGAAAGGGAACAGCCCAGACCACCAGCUAAGGUCCCAAAAUAUAUGUUAAGUGGAAAAGGAUGUGGCGUUGCCCAGACAACUAGGAUGUUGGCUUAGAAGCAGCCAUCAUUUAAAGAGUGCGUAAUAGCUCACUAGUCGAGUGACACUGCGCCGAAAAUGUACCGGGGCUAAACAUAUUACCGAAGCUGUGGAUUGUCCUUUGGACAAUGGUAGGAGAGCGUUCUAAGGGCGUUGAAGCAUGAUCGUAAGGACAUGUGGAGCGCUUAGAAGUGAGAAUGCCGGUGUGAGUAGCGAAAGACGGGUGAGAAUCCCGUCCACCGAUUGACUAAGGUUUCCAGAGGAAGGCUCGUCCGCUCUGGGUUAGUCGGGUCCUAAGCUGAGGCCGACAGGCGUAGGCGAUGGAUAACAGGUUGAUAUUCCUGUACCACCUAUAAUCGUUUUAAUCGAUGGGGGGACGCAGUAGGAUAGGCGAAGCGUGCGAUUGGAUUGCACGUCUAAGCAGUAAGGCUGAGUAUUAGGCAAAUCCGGUACUCGUUAAGGCUGAGCUGUGAUGGGGAGAAGACAUUGUGUCUUCGAGUCGUUGAUUUCACACUGCCGAGAAAAGCCUCUAGAUAGAAAAUAGGUGCCCGUACCGCAAACCGACACAGGUAGUCAAGAUGAGAAUUCUAAGGUGAGCGAGCGAACUCUCGUUAAGGAACUCGGCAAAAUGACCCCGUAACUUCGGGAGAAGGGGUGCUCUUUAGGGUUAACGCCCAGAAGAGCCGCAGUGAAUAGGCCCAAGCGACUGUUUAUCAAAAACACAGGUCUCUGCUAAACCGUAAGGUGAUGUAUAGGGGCUGACGCCUGCCCGGUGCUGGAAGGUUAAGAGGAGUGGUUAGCUUCUGCGAAGCUACGAAUCGAAGCCCCAGUAAACGGCGGCCGUAACUAUAACGGUCCUAAGGUAGCGAAAUUCCUUGUCGGGUAAGUUCCGACCCGCACGAAAGGCGUAACGAUUUGGGCACUGUCUCAACGAGAGACUCGGUGAAAUCAUAGUACCUGUGAAGAUGCAGGUUACCCGCGACAGGACGGAAAGACCCCGUGGAGCUUUACUGUAGCCUGAUAUUGAAAUUCGGCACAGCUUGUACAGGAUAGGUAGGAGCCUUUGAAACGUGAGCGCUAGCUUACGUGGAGGCGCUGGUGGGAUACUACCCUAGCUGUGUUGGCUUUCUAACCCGCACCACUUAUCGUGGUGGGAGACAGUGUCAGGCGGGCAGUUUGACUGGGGCGGUCGCCUCCUAAAAGGUAACGGAGGCGCUCAAAGGUUCCCUCAGAAUGGUUGGAAAUCAUUCAUAGAGUGUAAAGGCAUAAGGGAGCUUGACUGCGAGACCUACAAGUCGAGCAGGGUCGAAAGACGGACUUAGUGAUCCGGUGGUUCCGCAUGGAAGGGCCAUCGCUCAACGGAUAAAAGCUACCCCGGGGAUAACAGGCUUAUCUCCCCCAAGAGUUCACAUCGACGGGGAGGUUUGGCACCUCGAUGUCGGCUCAUCGCAUCCUGGGGCUGUAGUCGGUCCCAAGGGUUGGGCUGUUCGCCCAUUAAAGCGGUACGCGAGCUGGGUUCAGAACGUCGUGAGACAGUUCGGUCCCUAUCCGUCGUGGGCGUAGGAAAUUUGAGAGGAGCUGUCCUUAGUACGAGAGGACCGGGAUGGACAUACCUCUGGUGUACCAGUUGUCGUGCCAACGGCAUAGCUGGGUAGCUAUGUGUGGACGGGAUAAGUGCUGAAAGCAUCUAAGCAUGAAGCCCCCCUCAAGAUGAGAUUUCCCAACUUCGGUUAUAAGAUCCCUCAAAGAUGAUGAGGUUAAUAGGUUCGAGGUGGAAGCAUGGUGACAUGUGGAGCUGACGAAUACUAAUCGAUCGAAGACUUAAUCAA